CAUCGUUACGGCGUGGACUACCAGGGUAUCUAAUCCUGUUCGCUACCCACGCUUUCGUCCAUCAGCGUCAAUCCAUUAGUAGUAACCUGCCUUCGCAAUUGGUAUUCCAUGUAAUCUCUAAGCAUUUCACCGCUACACUUCAUAUUCUAGUUACUUCCUAAUAAUUCAAGUUUAGCAGUAUCAAUGGCCGUUCCACCGUUGAGCGAUGGGCUUUCACCACUGACUUACUAAACCGCCUACGGACCCUUUAAACCCAAUGAUUCCGGAUAACGCUUGGAUCCUCCGUAUUACCGCGGCUGCUGGCACGGAGUUAGCCGAUCCUUAUUCUUACGAUACCGUCAAGCUCCAACACGUAGGAGUGUUUCUUCUCGUACAAAAGCAGUUUACAAUCCAUAGGACCGUCAUCCUGCACGCGGCAUGGCUGGAUCAGGCUUGCGCCCAUUGUCCAAUAUUCCUCACUGCUGCCUCCCGUAGGAGUCUGGUCCGUGUCUCAGUACCAGUGUGGGGGAUCUCCCUCUCAGGACCCCUACCCAUCGUAGCCUUGGUAAGCCGUUACCUUACCAACUAGCUAAUGGGACGCAUGCUCAUCUUUUACCGUUGUGACUUUAAUAGUAUCUCGAUGCCGAGUCACUAUACUAUGAGGUAUUAAUCCAAAUUUCUCUGGGCUAUCCCUCUGUAAAAGGUAGAUUGCAUACGCGUUACGCACCCGUGCGCCGGUCUCUGCCGAUAAAUCGGCAUACCCCUCGACUGCAUG
RNAcentral lists this ribosomal RNA (754 nucleotides) under Flavobacterium sp. B241. RNAcentral describes it as "partial 16S ribosomal RNA". Lineage: Bacteria; Pseudomonadati; Bacteroidota; Flavobacteriia; Flavobacteriales; Flavobacteriaceae. The record is from RNAcentral.